AAUAAAUAUAUUUUCUUUCUUUACACUGACUCACUAGUCCUACUAACUUUUCCAAUUAUUAUUACCUCAACUAGCAUUUAUAAAGACAGUUUGUACCCCAAUGAUGUAAAAUCAUCCAUUGCAUUUACCUUUAUUAGCAGCCUCAUCCCCACCACCAGAUUCAUCUAUACAGGCCAAUAAACUAUUGUUUCAAACUGACACUGAAUGACAGUUCAAACCCUAAAGCUUUCACUCAGCUUUAAACUAGAUUACUUCUUUACAAUAUUCAUUCCAGUAGCACUAUUUGUCACAUGAUGUAUUAUAGAAUUCUCAAUAUUGUAUAUAUAUACUCAGGCCCCAACAUAAAUCAAUUCUUCAAAUAUCUACUCAUUUUUCUCAUUACUAUACUAAUUCUAGUCACUGCCAACAACCUAUUCCAACUCUUUAUCGAAUGGAAAGGCGUCCUUCCUGCUAAUUGGCUGAUGGUAUGGCGGAACAGACACCAACACAGCAACCCUUCAAGCAAUCUGACAUGAUUGCCUCAGAGACAUCAGCUUUAUCCUAGCAAUAGCACAAUUUCUCUUGUCCAGUAUAUUAGAACUUCAGCAAAUAUUUAUCCUCAACCCUAGCCCCAGUACUCUCCCACUAAUUGGUUUUCUAGUAGCAGCAGCUAGCAGAUCAGCUCAAUUUGGUCUCCACCCCUAACUCCUGUCAGCUAUAGAAGCCCCAGCACCCAUCUCAGCCCUACUCCACUCUAGCACAAUAGUGGUAGCAGGCGUUUUCCUACCAAUACAAUUUUAUUCCCUAAUAGAUAAUAACAUAAAUAUUCAAACACUCACAUUAUGCUUAGGAGCUAUUACUACACUAUUUACAGCAAUCUGCACUCUAACACAAAAUGACAUAUAAAAAAUUGUGGCAUUUUUCACCUCGAGUUAACUAGGACUCAUAAUAGUUACAAUUGGUAUUAACCAACCUUACCUAGCUUUUCUUCAUAUUUGUACACAUGCCUUUUUCAAAGCUACAUUAUUUAUAUGCUCCAGGUCUAUUAUUCAUAACCUCAAUGAUGAGCAAGCUAUUCAAAACAUAGGUAGGCUAUUUAAAGCUUGCCCUUUACCUCUUCCUCACAUACUAUUGGCAGCCUCGCACUCAGGUAUAUACCUUUCCUCAAAGGCUUCUGCUCCAAAGAUCUUAUUAUUGAAGCCACAAACACAUCAUAUACCAAUGCCCGAGCCCUCUUAAUCACACUCAUUGCCACCUCCCUAACAGCUGUCUGCAGUACCCAAAUUAUCUUCUUCGCACUGGUAGGACAACUUCGCUUCACAACCUUAGUUGUUAUCAACAAAAAUAAUGCCUCCUAAUUAAUUCAAUUAAACAUUGAAAAAUUGGUAGCAUUUUUGCCAGAUUUUUAAUCUCCAACAAUAUCUCCCCAAUAUCAAUUCCCCAAAUAAUUAUGCCUCUCCAUAUAAAGCUCACAGUUCUGGGCACAACUAUCCUAGGCUUCUCACUAGCACUAUAACUCAACCUUAUCACUAAUAACCUCAAACUUAAAUACCCAUCACAAAUAUUUAAAUUUUCCAAUGUAUUAGGAUUUUAUUCAACCUCAAUGCGCCAUGCAACACCAUAUUCAAACUUCCUUGCAAGCCAAAAUAUAGCCUCCCUUCUACUAAAUCUAAUCUGAAUAGAAAGGACAACACCAAAAACACUGCCCAACUUCAGAUCAUAGCCUCAACCACUGUACCUGCCCAGAAAGGCCUAAUUAUGCUCCACUUUUUCUCUUUCCUUAUUCCAUUUCUCCUAACCUUAUUCUUAAUCAUUUAACCC
Molecule: long non-coding RNA, 1800 nt
Filed under: Homo sapiens (human)
Lineage: Eukaryota; Metazoa; Chordata; Mammalia; Primates; Hominidae
Description: non-protein coding lnc-SLITRK5-31:1
Source: RNAcentral